AUUGAACGCUGGCGGCAUGCUUUACACAUGCAAGUCGAACGGUAACAGGCCGCAAGGUGCUGACGAGUGGCGAACGGGUGAGUAAUGCAUCGGAACGUGCCCAGUCGUGGGGGAUAACUACUCGAAAGAGUAGCUAAUACCGCAUACGAUCUAUGGAUGAAAGCGGGGGACCGUAAGGCCUCGCGCGAUUGGUGCGGCCGAUGUCAGAUUAGGUAGUUGGUGGGGUAAAGGCUCACCAAGCCAACGAUCUGUAGCUGGACUGAGAGGACGACCAGCCACACUGGGACUGAGACACGGCCCAGACUCCUACGGGAGGCAGCAGUGGGGAAUUUUGGACAAUGGGCGCAAGCCUGAUCCAGCAAUGCCGCGUGAAGGAAGAAGGCCUUCGGGUUGUAAACUUCUGUUGUACGGAACGAAACGGCUCUGGUUAAUACCCGCGGGUAAUGACGGUACUGGAUGAAUAAGCACCGGCUAACUACGUG
Molecule: ribosomal RNA, 482 nt
Filed under: uncultured bacterium
Lineage: Bacteria
Description: partial 16S ribosomal RNA
Rfam family: Bacterial small subunit ribosomal RNA
Source: RNAcentral